Molecule: long non-coding RNA, 413 nt
Filed under: Pongo abelii (Sumatran orangutan)
Lineage: Eukaryota; Metazoa; Chordata; Mammalia; Primates; Hominidae
Description: lincRNA
Source: RNAcentral
GCGGCGGGCCCGGAUCUUCGCCACCGCUGUCAUUUGUGGGAGGAGAAAGGGCUGGAGAAAGGCGGGGAUCGUCCCUCGUCCCUCGCCUUGCGUUUCCCUGCACUUAAGGGCCGAAGGGACACUGGAGACUUGACCUCCUGGUAUUGGCCUGCACCGUCACUUCCAGAGGCUUUCCGCCUCAGUUCCUUCCCAGCACCUCCCCCCCCCACCAAAGUAAAUAGUUGACAGUUUACUUUUCCACCACCCGGAAGAAGUUCACUUUUACUUCAGGUCAAAAUCCUCCGGGAUUUCUGAGAGGAACUUUAAAUCUCUAACAUAAGAGCACGCUUUUAAUGUAAUUUGAUUCCAGGGGGAGGCUCCUCCGUGCUCCUGAGAGGCCGAACACGGGGUUCCCAGCACAGCUUACUGCUCAG